This 257-nucleotide unclassified non-coding RNA is filed under the name Hevea brasiliensis (rubber tree). Lineage: Eukaryota; Viridiplantae; Streptophyta; Magnoliopsida; Malpighiales; Euphorbiaceae. The record is from RNAcentral.
UGGGUUGCGCAAUCAAUUUCAAUGCGCUGGAGGCGCUAGUGGCACGCUCGCCGCAGCUACGGCGGCUGCGGGUGAAUCAGCACAUUUCACUGGGGCAGCUCAGCCGGCUGAUGGCUCACGCGCCGCAGCUCACCCACCUUGGCACGGGGUCGUUCCGACCGGCCGACUUACAAGACAAUGACGAAAAUCUUGCUUCGGCUUUCGCAGCGUCGAAGUCAAUUGUCUGCCUCUCGGGGUUCCGUGAUGCGGCUCCGGAG